UACGUAGGUGGCAAGCGUUGUCCGGAUUUAUUGGGUUUAAAGGGUGCGUAGGCGGUCUAUUAAGUCAGUGCUGAAAUAUCCCGGCUUAACCGGGAGGGUGGCAUUGAUACUGAUGGACUUGAGUAAAGUUUGAGGUUGGCGGAAUUGACGGUGUAGCGGUGAAAUGCUUAGAUAUCGUCAAGAACACCUAUUGCGAAGGCAGCUAACUAGCUAAACUGACGCUGAGGCACGAAAGUGUGGGGAUCAAACAGG
RNAcentral lists this ribosomal RNA (252 nucleotides) under uncultured bacterium. RNAcentral's name for it is "partial 16S ribosomal RNA". It matches the Rfam family "Bacterial small subunit ribosomal RNA", at positions 524 to 776 of the family's 1533-position model. The record is from RNAcentral.